Long non-coding RNA from Alnus glutinosa, 823 nucleotides. RefSeq lists it as uncharacterized. The record is from RefSeq and is a predicted model, not a curated record. Lineage: Eukaryota; Viridiplantae; Streptophyta; Magnoliopsida; Fagales; Betulaceae. The transcript is spliced from 2 exons.
UCCAAGUCAUAUGAGAAUUGACUAAACGACUUGUAGUAAAAGUUCUCUGUAGCAAACGACUUGUAAGCAAAGGUAGUGAAGUGUUGGAUAUCCUUAGCCCAUGACUAGGUUCCAUUAAGAAACUUUCCAAACACGCCCUAGGGUUAGCCCAAUCCCGCCGCUAAUAAAUUUGAGUAAAAGCUCCGAACAAACCCUUUUGCAGCUAACCAUCUUCUUUCUUUUCUCUGAACCCCUUUUUGACAUUGUCUGUCUAGGUUGAAGAAAAAAAAAAAUCAGAGUUGGUUGGAACUUGGAAGUAGUUGGAAGAAUGGAAGGGAUUUUCCUUGAGUUUGAAAGGAAGAUUUAGUGAGUAUGAGAAAUAUUUUGUUGGUUGAAAUUAUCUGCAGCAAUUGGAAACCUGAGAGUAUUCAUGAUUUGAAAAUUAAUCCAUUGAUAUCUGAUAUCCCUUGCGUUGCUCAAUUAUUCUCGACUAUCUUUUGUUUAGAUUAUUAUCUAUGCUGUGAAUCUGUGAUCCAUUUCCUUAUUUAUUUCUGACUAUCAUAUGAUUCUGGGACAACCAGGAAAGAUGAAUCGAAUGUAUUAUUUUUGUUUCUGGUUCCAUAUUCUGCAGUGUUCCACAUGGCACUGUUGGGGCAGGUGACUGAGGUGGUUGGUGUCGCUUAGAACUUUACAAAGAAUACAUAUAAGGAGUUCAAUGUUAAUGUAGUUUUUAUAUGUUUUUCCAAGCUGUAUAUUUCAUCUGGGUUGUAUUCUACUGUUACUUGUACAUGUGCUUUAUGGCAUGCAAGCACAUUGUUUUCAAUGGAAAAUGUUAUUUAUAAAA